UCUAGCUGGAGGGUUAUUCCAAGCACUCACCCAAGCAUCCCCCGUCGGAGAGCAAAUGGGUCACCUUUGGUACGACUCAGGAAUCGCGGCUCCGAUCAGCGCCGCACUACCAGGGCUACCACUCUGCCAGGGAGGUCAGGACUUUUAACUCACCUGCAUUUGGUCUUACGCCAAUGGACCCCCGCACACCGCACUUCCUCCGGUAGUGCGCACUUUAUACUUGCCGGUCUUCCGGCCUGAGUCAUACUACUAGGGUUCGCGGUCGGAACGAGUUAUCCGACCAACUAUGUGUUAGUCAUGCGUUCAACAUGAUAAGAGGACGUACAACGAUCGGUCCUUAGCUGCCAUAGACGUUACUACAACCUUGCAAAACUCUGCCCGGCUUAAGUCAUUUUAACCAGGUUCUUUCCACGAUAGCAUAUAUAGUCAAUCGUGAUCUGACACAACCCUAUUUCGCGCAGGUGACAGGAUAUCACCCGACUUCUACCGAUUAAAGCAUGGCUAAGUUGCUACUCGAUCCUAACGCUACAACCAAGUAGUGGUAAGAUAUCUGGACAAGGCAAAGGGUAUAAUGCAGCAAGGGUUUCAUCACAACUCCUAUGCGUAAUGCAACAAUAGAUAUAACUUAACCAAGGAUACUUUCAAAAUUAAAGUGAGAGACUUAAGAUGCUCCGGGGCUUGCCUUUCACGAACGAGGCUGGCUCGUGAUUAGGUCUCUGAAGGUGCAAAAAAUUCAAUAAUAGGUGUGGAAUUUGAGUUAUCCACAA
Molecule: long non-coding RNA, 767 nt
Filed under: Sorghum bicolor (sorghum)
Lineage: Eukaryota; Viridiplantae; Streptophyta; Magnoliopsida; Poales; Poaceae
Description: long non-coding RNA (SBIC_LNC008524)
Source: RNAcentral